RNAcentral lists this long non-coding RNA (1047 nucleotides) under Canis lupus familiaris (dog). RNAcentral's name for it is "lncRNA (ENSCAFG00845029145.1)". The record is from RNAcentral. Lineage: Eukaryota; Metazoa; Chordata; Mammalia; Carnivora; Canidae.
AUGGAGCCGGCGCCCCCGCCACGCGCUCCCGCCGCCGGCCCGGGGGCUCACCUCGCCGGUUCCGCUCCGCCCGGCCCAGCCAUGGGGCCCGCGCCGGCCACUGGGGGGCGCCUCGGCUCGGCCUCGCGGCCCCGCACGUCCCGGGGCCCCCCGGCCGCUGCGGACUCCCUGCGGGAGGCGCCUCCGGCACCGACGGACGCCCGGGACGCGCGGCUCCCCGGCCGCCCCGCAGCCCGCAGCCCGCAGCCCGGAGCCCGCAGCCCGCAGCCCGCAGCCCGCAGCCCGCAGCCCGCAGCAGCCGCGCGUCUCGGCCGAGCGCGCCCGGGAGGCAGCGGCCGAAGUUGCGGAGUGCGCCCCGCCCCUCGCGCCCGCCGCCGCCGCCGCUCCCGCCGCUCCCGCCGCUCCCCUGCGGCAAACCGCGCCGCGUCCCCGCCGCCGCCGCCGCCGCCGCCGCCGCCCGAGCCCCCGGAGCUCCCGGGACGGGCUUCCCCCGCGGGGCCGGGCCGGGCCGCCGCGUCCCCCGCACCUCCCCGCCGCGCAGGGGGCGGUGCUCCACGCGCCUCCCGGGAUCCCGCUCGCUCGCUCGCUCGCUCGCUCGCUGUCCGGGACCUCGGCGCGGCUGGAGGCGCGGGCCCCUCCGACAGACCGAGCCUCGGCACGGAAGCGGCGGCGCUCGGAUGGGGGAGGACUGGGGGGGCCCACCGACAUUCGGACUCACUGCGAAAUGAAGAACCUGGAGAGGAUUUUUUGUUUUUCGAUUUAAAAAAACCUUUUCGAGCACUACACCAAGCAGCAAAUACUUCCGUUUCCUAUUUUGACCACUUAUGGGUGAAAGCGAAGAUGGAAAAGGAGAAGGAGCCGAAUGGGGAGGGGCGGGAGCUCAGAAGACUUAAGCAGGGAGGGGAUGGGAUGCCCUCAGGUCUUGACACCCAGGAAGAGCUCCAGGCUCUGGGGAAAGGACUUAAACGCAUUCUAACCCUCCAGCGUCUAGAAAGAGACCCCGGCUGCUUUUAUAUUCCGGCUUCAAAGCCUAAUAUACUGAAAUGA